GACGAACGCUGGCGGCGUGCUUAACACAUGCAAGUCGAACGGUGAAGCGCCUUCCUUUUUGGUGGGUGUGGAUGAGUGGCGAACGGGUGAGUAACACGUGAGUAACCUGCCCCCUUCUUCUGGAUAACCGCAUGAAAGUGUUGCUAAUACGGGAUAUUCUGGGUCUGUCGCAUGAUGGGUCUGGGAAAGAUUUUGUUUCGGUUGGGGAUGGGCUCGCGGCGCAUUAGCUUGUUGGUGGGGUGAUGGCCUACCAAGGCGGCGACGGGUAGCCGGCCUGAGAGGGUGGUCGACGGCACUGGUAGGACGGAGCCACGGCGAAGCCUCCUACAGGAGGCAGCAGGGGGGAAUAUGGAACAGUGGGCGGAAGCCUGAUGCAGCGCCGCGGCGGGAGUGAUGGAGGCCUUCGGGUUGUGAUCUUCUUUCGCCAGUGAAGCAGGCCUGCCUCGUUUGUGGGUGGGUUGACGGUAGCUGGAUAAGAAGCGCCGGCUAACUACGUG
This 497-nucleotide ribosomal RNA is filed under the name uncultured bacterium. RNAcentral describes it as "partial 16S ribosomal RNA". It matches the Rfam family "Bacterial small subunit ribosomal RNA", at positions 28 to 507 of the family's 1533-position model. The record is from RNAcentral.